UAAAGGUUCACAGCAUGAGGAAGGUUGAGAACCACUGCUCUGAGGUCUGAUUUUUCCAACAGCCUAGUCUCCCGUGUCAAGCCAUUUUGAGGUGCUAUGGGCCUUUAGCAGAGAAGCUCCUCAGGAUGUGGACAUACAGAAUUUGGCCUUUGACUCACAAUGAAACAUUAAUACAAGUCAUAAUAAUUUCAUAUAAGUGAUGGUUUUAUUUUUAAAAGAAGGCAUUUAGAUAGUAAGAUUACAUAGAGCUGCUAAAAUGUCACAGAAAUAAACAACAACUAUGUGAGAAACUUGCAGAGAUGACACAUCUGUAGCAGUUUGGGCAGUAAAAGUCAGCAGUUUGGAUUCCCUCUUUUUAAGUGAGGUGGACACUGGGCUUAUCUACUAGUCACCUGCCUCGGGUGAAUCAGACCAUCCAGUGUAUUUUGGUUCAGGCCCAUUCCCUGACACUGUGCAAGUAUAGCUAGUCAGCAAGAGUUUUCUUUUUUCAGUUUAACUUGUAUUUUACCAGAGAAAAUCCAAUUUUCCAUCCCUUUCAAAGAUUAAAACUGAUAUUGUAGGAUAGUAAACCUCUUUAGUCUGACCCAGUCUCCUACUCACAUGUGGGUUAGUGCUCAUAAUAAAGGCCACUGCUUAGGUUUGUUUUAACAGGCACACAGAACAGCUCAGCCAAGGUGAUUCUGAAGUGGUGUCCAAAUAUAUCGGAUUUCUGAAUGCCCACUCAGAACAUCAAAUCAGGAGCAGCCUUGAGAGAAGAAGGAUUUGACAGCUUCAUCUCAUCCACACAGAAGUGAAUAUCACACUGUCCAGAAUGAGAAACCUCAGCAUAACUUGAAAAACUGCUAGAAAUGCAGGCUCUUGGGAGCUACUCCAGACCUGCUGGAUCAGAAAUGCAGAAAUGAAGCCCUGCAGUGUGUUUUAAUAAAGCUUACAGGAUGAGAUGGCCAACCUAAGAAAUAUCAACCUCAGAGGAAAACAAGAAGAAGAAGGAAGAGGAGGAGGAGAAAAAGAAGGAGGAA
This is a non-coding RNA of Cricetulus griseus (Chinese hamster), 1019 nucleotides long. The record is from RefSeq and is a predicted model, not a curated record. Lineage: Eukaryota; Metazoa; Chordata; Mammalia; Rodentia; Cricetidae.